RNAcentral lists this ribosomal RNA (529 nucleotides) under bacterium enrichment culture clone 16(2012b). RNAcentral's name for it is "bacterial SSU rRNA". It matches the Rfam family "Bacterial small subunit ribosomal RNA", at positions 355 to 901 of the family's 1533-position model. The record is from RNAcentral.
UAGGGAAUAUUGGACAAUGGGGGCAACCCUGAUCCAGCAAUGCCGCGUGAGUGAUGAAGGCCUUAGGGUUGUAAAGCUCUUUUACCCGGGAUGAUAAUGACAGUACCGGGAGAAUAAGCCCCGGCUAACUCCGUGCCAGCAGCCGCGGUAAUACGUAGGGUGCAAGCGUUAAUCGGAAUUACUGGGCGUAAAGCGUGCGCAGGCGGUUCGGAAAGAAAGAUGUGAAAUCCCAGAGCUUAACUUUGGAACUGCAUUUUUAACUACCGAGCUAGAGUGUGUCAGAGGGAGGUGGAAUUCCGCGUGUAGCAGUGAAAUGCGUAGAUAUGCGGAGGAACACCGAUGGCGAAGGCAGCCUCCUGGGAUAACACUGACGCUCAUGCACGAAAGCGUGGGGAGCAAACAGGAUUAGAUACCCUGGUAGUCCACGCCGUAAACGAUGAUAACUAGCUGCUGGGGUGCAUGGCAUUUCAGUGGCGCAGCUAACGCAUUAAGUUAUCCGCCUGGGGAGUACGGUCGCAAGAUUAAAACU